This 207-nucleotide ribosomal RNA is filed under the name uncultured bacterium. RNAcentral describes it as "partial 16S ribosomal RNA". It matches the Rfam family "Bacterial small subunit ribosomal RNA", at positions 568 to 774 of the family's 1533-position model. The record is from RNAcentral.
CGCGUAGGCGGUUUUGUAAGUCGGAUGUGAAAGCCCUGGGCUUAACCUGGGAAUUGCAUUCGAUACUGCAUAACUAGAGUACGGUAGAGGGAAGUGGAAUUCCGGGUGUAGCGGUGAAAUGCGUAGAUAUCCGGAGGAACACCAGUGGCGAAGGCGACUUCCUGGGCCAGUACUGACGCUGAGGUGCGAAAGCGUGGGGAGCAAACA